This 450-nucleotide ribosomal RNA is filed under the name uncultured Glomus. RNAcentral describes it as "SSU rRNA". It matches the Rfam family "Eukaryotic small subunit ribosomal RNA", at positions 569 to 1026 of the family's 1831-position model. Lineage: Eukaryota; Fungi; Glomeromycota; Glomeromycetes; Glomerales; Glomeraceae. The record is from RNAcentral.
AGCAGCCGCGGUAAUUCCAGCUCCAAUAGCGUAUAUUAAAGUUGUUGCAGUUAAAAAGCUCGUAGUUGAAUUUCGGGAUCAAUAUGUUGGUCGUGCCUUGGUACGUACUAUCUUAUUGGUUUCUCCCUUCUGACGAACCAUGAUGUCAUUAAUUUGGUGUCAUGGGGAAUCAGGAUUGUUACUUUGAAAAAUUAGAGUGUUUAAAGCAGGCUCACGCUUGAAUAUAUUAGCAUGGAAUAAUGAAAUAGGACGUUUGAUUCUAUUUUGUUGGUUUCUAGGAUCGAUGUAAUGAUUAAUAGGGAUAGUUGGGGGCAUUAGUAUUCAAUUGUCAGAGGUGAAAUUCUUGGAUUUAUUGAAGACUAACUACUGCGAAAGCAUUUGCCAAGGAUGUUUUCAUUAAUCAAGAACGAAAGUUAGGGGAUCGAAGACGAUCAGAUACCGUCGUAGUCU